UGCAGACGAUCUCCCGGGCACCCUCCUGAUCCGCGAGCGCCGUGGCUGUGGCUGUGGCCGUUAGCGUGUCCCCGUGGUUCAUGACUGUCGCAUUCAGCAUCUGGUCCCCCAGCGCCAGGACACACACACAGGGCCAUGAAAACGGCCUUCUUCAAAGAUCCCACGGCUCGGGCCUCCCUUCCGGGGCCACCUUGCGCAGUGGCCGGGGGCUUUCCUUCCCAGAAGCCUGUGAAGUCCAGGGUACCCCACUCUCAGGAACCCCAAGGUCAGGGCACCGUCUACCCUGGCUCAGCUCGUCACCCACCGUCUGAAGCCCCUUCUCUCACCAAAGGUUCGGAGCUGGCGGGGGGCUGAGGUGUUCACGAACAGUCCCAGCCCCUGGGGCUGCAUGUCCAGUUCUGUGCGGCAUGAGAAAGGGGCUCCAUGGUCGCCUCUGCUGGCCAGCACAGGGGCAGUGACCUCCGCUGGCUCCUCCACUGCGGGCUGCCGGCUCAGCUCCUCCUCCCAGCGAAGCAGCACCACCGUGAGGCUGGUCCGGGGCGACCCACCCUCCACUUGGCAGCGCAGGGUGAAGUUCUGGCCCACCGGCUGCCAAGGAGGCAGGGGUGCCAGCUCCACACGCUCCGGGAGCCCUGAGAGAGGAGGGGAGGAUGGCACUUAGCGAGUCCUGCAAACCCACCCACUCACCCCAGGGACUGGGGAGGAGACAGGGCGGUCCUGCCGAGAACUGUGAGCUCUGAGUUAAUAAACUUAGAGGGCUUAGAGCUGGGCCAGUCGAAGCGUUUGCUAUUAUCAUUAGCGCAGUGAUUAUCAUUUCCUGUGUUGUCAGAUACCUUGCAAGGCGCUAAACAAAACUUUCUGUUCUCAAAGAUGGCACAAUAAAAAAAAAUGAGGAUGGAAGGGAUGAACGUUUAUGACUAUGAUAUGAAUAUUAAAAAUUCCUGUUUAUGGCCAGA
Gorilla gorilla gorilla (western lowland gorilla) is the source of this 956-nucleotide long non-coding RNA. RefSeq lists it as uncharacterized. The transcript has 2 exons. Lineage: Eukaryota; Metazoa; Chordata; Mammalia; Primates; Hominidae. The record is from RefSeq and is a predicted model, not a curated record.